GGGGAUUUAGCUUAGUGGCAUAAGCGCCAGCCUUGCAAGCAGGCAGUUGUGAGUCCAAUCCCUG
Cavia porcellus (domestic guinea pig) is the source of this 64-nucleotide transfer RNA. It matches the Rfam family "tRNA". From Rfam's summary of the family: Transfer RNA (tRNA) molecules are approximately 80 nucleotides in length. Their secondary structure includes four short double-helical elements and three loops (D, anti-codon, and T loops). Lineage: Eukaryota; Metazoa; Chordata; Mammalia; Rodentia; Caviidae. The record is from Rfam.